This 925-nucleotide ribosomal RNA is filed under the name Bacteroidales bacterium. RNAcentral's name for it is "bacterial SSU rRNA". It matches the Rfam family "Bacterial small subunit ribosomal RNA", at positions 1 to 917 of the family's 1533-position model. Lineage: Bacteria; Pseudomonadati; Bacteroidota; Bacteroidia; Bacteroidales. The record is from RNAcentral.
ACAACGAAGAGUUUGAUCCUGGCUCAGGAUGAACGCUAGCGGCAGGCUUAAUACAUGCAAGUCGAGGGGCAGCGCGGCGAGUAGCAAUACUUGCUGACGGCGACCGGCGCACGGGUGCGUAACGCGUAUGCAACCUACCUACUAUUGUGGAAUAACCCGGAGAAAUUCGGACUAAUACCGCAUACAAUAUUCGGAUGGCAUCAUUUGGAUAUAAAAGAUUUAUCGAUAGUAGAUGGGCAUGCGUCCCAUUAGCUAGUUGGUGAGGCAACGGCUCACCAAGGCGACGAUGGGUAGGGGAUCUGAGAGGAUAAUCCCCCACAUUGGUACUGAGACACGGACCAAACUCCUACGGGAGGCAGCAGUAGGGAAUAUUGGGCAAUGGUCGAGAGACUGACCCAGCCAUGCCGCGUGCAGGAAGACGGCCUUAUGGGUUGUAAACUGCUUUUGUACCGGGGUAACGGCGGGCUCGUGCAGCCUGAUUGAAAGUACGGUACGAAUAAGGAUCGGCUAACUCCGUGCCAGCAGCCGCGGUAAUACGGAGGAUCCGAGCGUUAUCCGGAUUUAUUGGGUUUAAAGGGUGCGCAGGCGGAUGGGUAAGUCAGUGGUGAAAUUUUCCGGCUCAACCGGGACAUUGCCAUUGAUACUGCUUGUCUAGAUUGUAGAUGGCGUAGGCGGAAUAUGUCAAGUAGCGGUGAAAUGCGUAGAUAUGACAUAGAACACCGAUCGGGAAGCCAGCUUACGAAGCUAUGAAUGACGCUCAUGCACGAAAGCGUGGGGAUCAAACAGGAUUAGAUACCCUGGUAGUCCACGCAGUAAACGAUGAACACUCGUUGCCGGCGAUAGAUGGUCGGUGGCCAAGCGAAAGUGAUAAGUGUUCCACCUGGGGAGUACGUUCGCAAGUAUGAAACUCAAAGGAAUUGACGGG